AAUAUCUUGAUUUUUGUAAUAUGUGUGACAAUAUCAGAUGUUCCAGCUCCCCUUGCGACCAAAAUAUACUAUUCCCAAAGAAAUCACAAUCUCCGAAGAGCCAUUUCUCGCAUGUUCUUUGAGGAACCAGACAAAGAGUUCAGCAAUGAGGUUCCAUCCUCAGAAGAAUAUCAAGAGUUCUAAAGAUGGGAACGUGUUACUGGAACAUGAAUUAGUGGAACAGAAACCUAAACUUAGUUCUUUCUUGGCACACAGAGACAGCAAUUUUUUGCUCUUUGCUCGAACGACUGAUCACAUUCUUUCAGCAAGGUCAAACUUCUACAUGGGCGAGCUGGAGCAUUUGAACCAUCCAUGAUCUCAGCUGCUCAGCUCCCUGUGAUUAAUACUAUAGGACCUCAUUAUAUAUCAAAUUCUUAUUCAUUUUCUGACAAACCAGGUACUCUUCAGCCGAGCAGUGGAAGUGUUCCGGUUGUAUAGGACUCAGCAUGGAGAAUUUGCUUGGUACAGCUGUUACUCCUUUUGCUCUAACUGAUGACUUAGGCUAAACUUGAUAACGGAAAAAAGAAAAGAUGCACAGUGCUAGCGUAACAUUUAACUGUGAUCACAUUGCACCCACUACUAAUUUAAAGACCAGUGUGUAUAGGCUGCUUCUAAUAUUGUGAAUACUCAAUACUCUAGCACCAACAUGGAAUCAUCCGUCAUUUUCUAAUUAGUCGAGCCAAUCACCCGUUUACUUUCUUAGCCAACAUUUCUCAUUGGUAUUGCACAUCAUUACUGAAUGCAUCACUGGUGUUGCUGAAUUUUCUGUUGCCACGCCCACACAGAUGUUUUUCGGGCCUGUUUCGGUGUUUCCUGUCUUGUUUAUCCUACACCAUGUGAUUCUUUCUUGACGUGAAAUCCACAAUUCUAGAGUGGUCUCAAUCUAUCAAGUAUGCUAUAAAUUGUUUGCUAGCCAACAAUUAGAUUAGUGAGGGUUGUUCAAGCUGCUUUAUGAUUGUUGGAGCCUAGAUAUAUUGGUAUAUUAUUGGUUUUAUCAUUUUGUUGGUAUUACCAUAUUGUAUGUGGGUGUUGUAUUAUGUGAGUGGAGACAGCUACCUAACA
Non-coding RNA from Salvia hispanica, 1101 nucleotides. The record is from RefSeq and is a predicted model, not a curated record. Lineage: Eukaryota; Viridiplantae; Streptophyta; Magnoliopsida; Lamiales; Lamiaceae.